UACGGGGGAUGCAAGCGUUAUCCGGAAUCAUUGGGCGUAAAGCGCCUGUAGGUGGUUUAGUAAGUCUGUUGUUAAAGCCUAGGGCUUAACCCUAGAAAAGCAAUGGAAACUACUAGGCUAGAGUAUGGUAGGGGUAGAGGGAAUUUCUAGUGUAGCGGUGAAAUGCGUAGAUAUUAGAAAGAACACCGGUGGCGAAGGCGCUCUACUGGACCAUUACUGACACUCAGAGGCGAAAGCUAGGGUAGCAAAAGGGAUUAGAUACCCCUGUAGUCCUAGCCGUAAACGAUGGAUACUAGAUGUUGCGUUUUUAUGCAGUAUCCUAGCUAACGCGUUAAGUAUCCCGCCUGGGGAGUACGCUCGCAAGGGUG
This 368-nucleotide ribosomal RNA is filed under the name uncultured phototrophic eukaryote. Its description in RNAcentral is "SSU rRNA". It matches the Rfam family "Bacterial small subunit ribosomal RNA", at positions 524 to 896 of the family's 1533-position model. The record is from RNAcentral.